AUACGUAGGGGGCGAGCGUUAUCCGGAAUUAUUGGGCGUAAAGAGUACGUAGGUGGUCUUUUAAGCGCAGGGUUUAAGGCGAUGGCUCAACUGUCGUUCGCCCUGUGAACUGGAAGACUUGAGUACAGGAGAGGAAAGCGGAAUUCCUAGUGUAGCGGUGAAAUGCAUAGAUAUUAGGAGGAACACCAGUGGCGAAGGCGGCUUUCUGGACUGUAACUGACACUGAGGUACGAAAGCGUGGGGAGCAAACAGGAUUAGAUACCCUGGUAGUCCACGCCGUAAACGAUGAGCACUAGGUGUCGGGGUCGCAAGAUCUCGGUGCCGCAGUUAACGCAUUAAGUGCUCCGCCUGGGGAGUACGCACGCAAGUGUGAA
Molecule: ribosomal RNA, 374 nt
Filed under: uncultured bacterium
Lineage: Bacteria
Description: bacterial SSU rRNA
Rfam family: Bacterial small subunit ribosomal RNA
Source: RNAcentral